AUGAGUCUUCUAUGCUGGAAUUGUUGAGGCUUGGGGUCGGACUCGAUAGUUGGCGAGCUUCGCUGGUUAGUGAAGCUCUACCGACCCUCCCUCCUCUUUCUGUCUGAAACGAAGAUGAGGGAUAAUCUUGUCAGGAACUUUAUGUGGUCGCUGGGCUUCUCUGGUUGUUUUGUUGUUAGCAGUGAGGGCCUCAAUGGGGGCUUUGCUUUGCUUUGUUUUGGACAGAUUCGGCAGAGGUUUCUAUGA
RNAcentral lists this ribosomal RNA (246 nucleotides) under Triticum aestivum (bread wheat). Its description in RNAcentral is "partial small subunit ribosomal RNA". Lineage: Eukaryota; Viridiplantae; Streptophyta; Magnoliopsida; Poales; Poaceae. The record is from RNAcentral.